AUUGAACGCUGGCGGCAGGCCUAACACAUGCAAGUCGAACGGUAACAGGAAGAAGCUUGCUUCUUUGCUGACGAGUGGCGGACGGGUGAGUAAUGUCUGGGAAACUGCCUGAUGGAGGGGAUAACUACUGGAAACGGUAGCUAAUACCGCAUAACGUCGCAAGACCAAAGAGGGGGACCUUCGGGCCUCUUGCCAUCGGAUGUGCCCAGAUGGGAUUAGCUUGUUGGUGGGGUAACGGCUCACCAAGGCAACGAUCCCUAGCUGGUCUGAGAGGAUGACCAGCCACACUGGAACUGAGACACGG
RNAcentral lists this ribosomal RNA (304 nucleotides) under uncultured bacterium. RNAcentral describes it as "bacterial SSU rRNA". It matches the Rfam family "Bacterial small subunit ribosomal RNA", at positions 30 to 329 of the family's 1533-position model. The record is from RNAcentral.